Cryptomeria japonica (Japanese cedar) is the source of this 1356-nucleotide long non-coding RNA. RefSeq lists it as uncharacterized. NCBI's taxonomy places the organism in Eukaryota, Viridiplantae, Streptophyta, Pinopsida, Cupressales, Cupressaceae. The transcript is spliced from 2 exons. The record is from RefSeq and is a predicted model, not a curated record.
AGAUAAUGUUGCCCAGCCAAUCAGCAUUCAAUAUUAUUUAAUGAUUUCUUCCUUUUGCAAUGUUCUUAUGGCAAAUUGAUCGACAUUUAACAAACGACUGUCAAAAACCAAUCUCGGCAUGCUUAGAUUGGAUGAUACAGAGGCAAUUGUGGUUAUCAAUAUGAGAGAAAGUGCAACUUCCGAGGACAGGACUGGGUCUGCAAAACAUCAGCUCUCCAAAACCCCUAGAGAUCACCGCAGGUUACAGGUGACAAAUGAGUGGGGCGAACAGUUGGCUCUUAGGGAUUUAAUUCAUUUGCAUUUGUUGAAAGGUGGAGGAUGCUGGUUAACUAGAGUGCAUAGAAUCGAGUGACAAUGGAGAUAAGCCAGUCACCAGAACGACUUCUAAUUCUGCCAGGACCACUAUUAACAGAUAUGCUAUAGAAAGCAGUCAUGUUCGCAAUUUUGAUCUGGACAAAGAAGAGGGCCAAGAUGAUCGGCAUGUCAGUGUAACUGAAAGUGUUGUAGAGCUUUGUGAUGUUGAGAGUAAUAUAGCUGGAGGACGGAACAGUGCUCACCCGCUCCUUCACAGGCUUGUUCACCAUGUUAUGCUUAAGAAGGAAGCUGAAAGGUCGCUCGCCUUGGAUGUGAAAUAGACUAAGAAGAAAAGCUUGCCCCUCUAAAACAAGCAACGCUAUUUGGAGCAACAAUGCAAGUAGAAGUAUAGCAAUGAACAUUGCAAGCACAACAUUUAACAGGGAUAGUAGAUUCACAACUUGAACCAGGAUUUGAUAAGAUAUCUACAAUCAUCUGUCUUGACAAAUCUAAUAGAUGCAAUGGACCACUUUCAAUAUGUUUCGCAAAGUCUAUUUCCCCUGAUUUGCUUGAGAAUGGAUAACGUUUAAAAUAUAUCCAGUCACACAAAGGUUUGGAUAAGCAAUCUUGUACUAAUCCAGAGUCUUUCCAUUCCAAUUGUAGGAUCAUUUUCAGAAUACAGAAAGGAAUCUCAUUUUCCAACUUCAAAAUGUCUAGUAUAAUCUCUCGUCUUUUGAUUUUAUGUCUUGAAGCAUGCAUCCAUGACCGUCAUUCACACAAGCAUAUCUUAAUCCCAUUCAACGGCUGAAUCUUCAUAGCAAACUUUGAUUUUUGUAUCUAGCUCUUUGACUUUUGCGACUAAACUGUCUAUGGUCAUGUGAGGGAUCCUUUCCAAGGUUUUGUUUACUACUUGGAGCUUAUAUUUGUCCGUUGUAGUCAGCUGCUAGUGUUUCUUGUGAUGAUAAGGUCCAAGAAAUACAACCAGAGGAUCAUAUACUCCUCGUUUUGUUUUCUUUAUGGGUUCAGGCACCCAAUAUAUGGACACACAAGUAGACAUUUUUA